RNAcentral lists this ribosomal RNA (468 nucleotides) under uncultured bacterium. Its description in RNAcentral is "partial 16S ribosomal RNA". It matches the Rfam family "Bacterial small subunit ribosomal RNA", at positions 28 to 523 of the family's 1533-position model. The record is from RNAcentral.
GAUGAACGCUGGCGGCGUGCCUAACACAUGCAAGUCGAGCGAUUCUCUUCGGAGAAGAGCGGCGGACGGGUGAGUAACGCGUGGGUAACCUGCCCUGUACACACGGAUAACAUACCGAAAGGUAUGCUAAUACGAGAUAAUAUGCUUUUAUCGCAUGAUAGAAGUAUCAAAGCUCUGGCGGUACAGGAUGGACUCGCGUCUGAUUAGCUAGUUGGUAAGGUAACGGCUUACCAAGGCGACGAUCAGUAGCCGACCUGAGAGGGUGAUCGGCCACAUUGGAACUGAGACACGGUCCAAACUCCUACGGGAGGCAGCAGUGGGGUAUAUUGCACAAUGGGCGAAAGCCUGAUGCAGCAACGCCGCGUGAGCGAUGAAGGCCUUCGGGUCGUAAAGCUCUGUCCUCAAGGAAGAUAAUGACGGUACUUGAGGAGGAAGCCCCGGCUAACUACGUGCCAGCCGCCGCGGUAA